Molecule: long non-coding RNA, 378 nt
Organism: Syngnathus acus (greater pipefish)
Lineage: Eukaryota; Metazoa; Chordata; Actinopteri; Syngnathiformes; Syngnathidae
Exons: 2
Source: RefSeq, a predicted model, not a curated record
AUGGCAUCCAAGGGAGGAGUUGGAUAUCAACACCGUGCUGUCAAAGUGGCCUACACAGAGCGGCGACCUGGAGUGAACUAUACGUGUUACAUCCAAGGAAGUAAGACCCACAAAUGCAUUGACAGAGACUGCUCUCCAGGAGGAAACUGUAUGGGAGCUUUGGACAUCGCCGCUGAGUGUCAGGAUAGGAGAGCCAUUUCAGUUGGGGAGGGCUCUCCGACUAACAUGGCUGCACCAUCGAACGGAACAUACUUCAUACAGAAUGGCUGGUGGCUUUGUGGUCACAAGGUUUAUCCGAUGCUGCCCGCCAACUGGACAGGAGUGUGUGCACCAGUGUGGGUGACAGACCGCACCUACAGGAUACGACAUCGUCAGCUG